Saccostrea echinata is the source of this 723-nucleotide long non-coding RNA. RefSeq lists it as uncharacterized. The transcript is spliced from 4 exons. Lineage: Eukaryota; Metazoa; Mollusca; Bivalvia; Ostreida; Ostreidae. The record is from RefSeq and is a predicted model, not a curated record.
AAUCAAUAGGCCUUUGAGAGAGUGCAACGCAGGGCAAUGAACUCGACAGUCAAAAUGGCGCCCGGCAGGAUGUCGGGAAACAAUACGUAACACUACGUAAUGAUCAGUUUGACGAGAUACGGUGAAGGAUGGUAGUCAAGACAUGCCAACACUCCGCGUCACGUAGCUUUCUGCAACUCUUAUCUUUCAAGUUCUUGCACAGCGCCCUCAUUAUGCAACUUUUCUGAAACUAACGGUUGCUUUUAUUGACAUGACAACAGAUUUAUAGGCGGAAUGCGGAUUCAUCAAUUACAGCUUAGCCCUGAACUUAGGCGGUCUUGGCAAUAGUGAUCGAAAAGAUAUAUUUUAUGGCCGAUUUUUGAGGUACAGCUGUCCAGCUCUUUUGGAUCCAGUGGGCAUUCUGACCUCAGCAAGAUCUCCUACCGCUGACAAAGAUGAAAGACGCCUUCCAAUUGGUCUAACAAAAGUCAACCCGACAUGUGCGUUCAGUUGAAGAUGUUUCUUGGCAACAAAAAAUUUGCCUGUCGUAUACAAUUGUUGACCUUUACCCCGGGCCGUGACACCGCCACACAAAAGAUAGGUAUAUAACUUGAUACAUAAUGUAAACAAGUGGACUAGACAAUCGACUGUUUCGAUGACCUUAAUUAGUGCGCACCUGCGUGGUUUUGGCCGCUCGCGGGUCUGCUUUGGACAAAGCGUUGGACAAGCUUACGUAGAUUCUCA